AUAUCAGUCAUGCAUAGCAUAUCAAUAAGCGGAGGAAAAGAAACUAACAAGGAUUCCCUUAGUAACGGCGAGUGAAGCGGGAAGAGCUCAAAUUUGAAAUCUUCAAGGUUCUACCUUGACGAAUUGUAGUUUAUAGAAGUGUUUUCUGUUAGUGGAGUGGCAAAAGUUCUUUGGAAUAGGACAUCAUAGAGGGUGAGAAUCCCGUAUUUGGUCAUUCCUCCUAGCGUUGUGAUACACUUUCAACGAGUCGGAUUGUUUGGGAAUGCAGUCCAAAAUGGGUGGUAAAUUUCAUCUAAAGCUAAAUAUUGGCGAGAGACCGAUAGCGAACAAGUACCGUGAGGGAAAGAUGAAAAGAACUUUGAAAAGAGAGUUAAACAGUACGUGAAAUUGUCAAAAGGGAAGCGUUUGACACCAGUGUUGUUUUUCCGAAAAUCAAUUACGAAUGUUUUGUUUUUGAGGAGUUAUGACUUCAUCGGCUUGCUCCUUUCUUUAUGAAACUUUCUUAAUGCACUUUUCGGUUAACAAGUCAACAUCAAUUUCUUUUGUUGUAAAAGGGUAUGAGGAAGGUGGCUUUCUUUUCGGAGAAAGUGUUUAUAGCCUUGUGCCUCUGCAAUCGGAGAGAUUGAGGUCUGCAGCGUAGAUCCUUCGGGGUUAGAUACGUUUGUGCUAAGUUAUAGCUUUUCAUAGACAACUUGUUGACUAUGUUUAGUCUUGUAGCUUACUCGCUGACGCUAUUUUACCUACGCUUAGGAUGUUGAUCUCUCACAGUCGAGC
RNAcentral lists this ribosomal RNA (774 nucleotides) under uncultured Neocallimastigales. RNAcentral's name for it is "partial large subunit ribosomal RNA". It matches the Rfam family "Eukaryotic large subunit ribosomal RNA", at positions 22 to 645 of the family's 3401-position model. The record is from RNAcentral. Lineage: Eukaryota; Fungi; Neocallimastigomycota; Neocallimastigomycetes; Neocallimastigales.